Molecule: long non-coding RNA, 1290 nt
Filed under: Salmo salar (Atlantic salmon)
Lineage: Eukaryota; Metazoa; Chordata; Actinopteri; Salmoniformes; Salmonidae
Description: lncRNA (ENSSSAG00000107937.1, ENSSSAG00000116506.1)
Source: RNAcentral
UGUAAAUGUACUGUCCUAACAUACUCUAAAUUUAUGCUUUCGCCGUAAAACCUUUUUGAAAUCGUAAAACGUGGUUAGAUUAAGGAGAUGUUUAUCUUUCAAAGGGUGUAAAAUAGUUGUAUGUUUGAAAAAUUUGAAUUUUGACAUUUAUUUGGAUUCAAAUUUGCCGCUCUUGAAAUGCACCUGCUGUUGAUGGAGUGCACCACGGGUGGCACGCUAGCGUCCCACCUAGCCCAUAGAGGUUAACGAGAGUCUUGUCUUUAAAAUGGUGUAAAAUAGUCAUAUGUUUGAAAAAUUGAAGUUUUUGCAUUUUUGAGGUUUUUGAAUAACGCGCCACGGGAUUACACUGGCUGUUACGUAGGUGGGACGAUUUGGUGCCACCUACCCUAGAGAGGUUAACAAACAGUCUUCUCAUGUGCUCUGCUUGUAUAUCUUCAACUUCUAUGUCUACCUGUUCUGGUCUCUCUAACUCUGGCCUUUCUAUAUGGUCUACCUGAUUAGCUGAAAUCUAAUCCAUUGCUUAACCUGUUGGAUCCUAGUAAACCAACUCUAGGGAUAAUAUCUGGACCUAAUAUUUUAGCUACCAUAAUCGUGUCCGCCAAGUAAUUUGGGAACGCUUCUACCCAUUUACUAUUCUUAUCUAUUAUUGCAAAACACCCUUCUUUCCCUCACUUUGGAAUAGGUUAUAACAUAUAUCAAUGAAGUCCAUUUCUAAUUGAUGGAAUGGAUAUUGUACCUGGGGGGUAUUCUCCCAGUGGUGCUCUUACUCUACCUUGAUGAUUAUUCUAUGCACAAAUAACACAUCUGGAACCAUUUUUUUUAAGUAAUUUGUAAUUCCGUAUGCCUUUCCUAACUAUUUCCAUCAUCCCCCCUGUUGAUACAUGGCUUUGCCCAUGUAUCAAUAUUGCUGCAUAUCUGAACAAUGACUUCGGUAGUAUGGGUAACUUAUCCCUUUACCAAAUCCCAUCUGUAUAGACCGCUCCUAACUUUUCCCAUUUUGAAAUCUCCUUAACUGGUGCUCUACUUUGACAGUUCUGUAAUACCGUUUUGUCUAUGUUCACUUCUUCUUUUAACAAUUACUGUUUAAAUGGCCAUGGUUUAAGACUGGCCUUUUAUGCUUCCUCAUCUGCUUUCCUGUUGCCCUUGCUAAUUUUAUCCAUUCCUUUAGAGUGAGCUUCACACCUACAAAUAGCUAACUUUUCUGGCAACUGUACAGUAUCUAAUAAAUUCAAAAUCAACUGGGCAUGUGUAAUAGGUGUACCAGAAGUGAUCACCAUUCCCCUUGUAACA